GGGGACGCGGGCCAGGCCGGGGGUCCUGGGCAGGUCUGGAGCCCGAUAUGAUGGCCGCUGCGGACUUGUGUUCAGUGAGGCGUGGUGGUCGUGCCCUUUCGUGUCCUCAGGUGGCUACUGUGACCUUCACCUCUCCUGCAUGCCCGGGUCGGACCAGUUCCGUCGGAUACGGUGACGUGGAGAGGGCACCUGGUCUCUCUGGCUCGGGUCUUAGUCUAGUGGGUGACAUGUUAAUCAGCGUGCAGUUACCGUGGUCCUGAGGGAUGAAGGCCAAGGAACUUGGCGUAGACUGGAAGGCUUCCUGGAGGAGGUGACAGCCCCAGCGUAAUAUAGGGGAAAGGGGAAACUGGAGACAGACAAGCACACAGGGAGAACGAUGUGAACAUGGAUGGCCAUCUGCAAGCUCAGGAGAGCGGCCUGGAACAGACUCACUCCCUCAGCGGCUCUCGGGGGAAGCAGCCUCUGACACCAUGAUCUUGGACUUCUGGAUUCCAGAACAGUGGGGAGAUAAAUUUGUGUUGUUUAAGCCUCCAGGUUUAUGAACCGGUCAGCAGGGAGCCAGGCAGUCGCCACGUGAGGCCGUUGCGAAGGCCGUGCUCUGGCUGAGAUGAGCGAGUUCCUGGAACAGGCGCUAGAGGGGGCUGCAAGCCAGACGUGCCGACAGGCCACUCACGGAGUACAUGGUCACUGCCUUGGCAUCUGUUCUGUGUGGCCCUCUGCCUGCGGGGCCUUGAACUGACAGGAGCCCUCCCUCGAGUGCGUGCCCUAGGUGACAGCCCGCAGAGUCACCAGUAAACCGAAGUUCCUGAUGUGACCCCCCCAACACCCUUGUGAUAACCUCUCUCCUGUGGGCCCCGUAGAUUAAACCCCUGUGAAGCUCACCAAAGCCCUGCUCCCUCUGGUUUGAGCUGACCUAUCCAGCCUUAGCCCAGGAACCCCAAAGCACAGCCCUGUGGACCUAACACAGGUGUGUGCCCCGGGUCCUGCCUCCUGGGCACUGUGCCUGUACCUCCUCCAGGACCUGUGAGUCAUAAGCUUCUCUGUUCCGCUAUUCCUUGAGGUCUUUGUUGAACCAGCAGGCAGCCUGGCCACAUGCCUUCUGACACUGCAGGCAGCACCCACAGGGAUGGAGUGACGGCCAGGGCAGCACCAGGAGAAUGGAGCAGACAGGAAGGGCAUUGCAAGGGCCGGGAAAAUAAAACUAUCAUUGGAACCACAGGCCAUAAAAGUAGGCUGGAAUUUACACACUAAACCUAAAUGGGGCGACUUUCUGCUGAAAUAGAAGAUUAAUUUUUUUUUUGAUGUGGACCAUUUUUUAAAGUUUUUAUUGAAUUUGUUACAAUAUUGCUUUUUUUUUUUUUUUUUUUUUUUUUAUGUUUUGGUGUUUUGGCCGCAAGGCAUGUGGGAUCCUAGAUCCCUGGCCAGGGAUAGAACCUGCACCCCUUGCAUUGGAAGGUGAAGUCUUAACCACUGGACCACCAGGGAAGUCCCUGAAAUAGAAGAUUUAAAUAAAAUCAGGUUUCUUCUAACACAAUAACCAAAAUGUCCAGUAUACAGUAAAAAACCACUGGUCAUACCGAGAACCAAGGAAAACCAUUAUUUGAACGUGAAAAGUGAACUGACGUGAACACCAAGAUAAAUCUUGGAAUUA
Molecule: long non-coding RNA, 1651 nt
Organism: Balaenoptera ricei (Rice's whale)
Lineage: Eukaryota; Metazoa; Chordata; Mammalia; Artiodactyla; Balaenopteridae
Exons: 4
Source: RefSeq, a predicted model, not a curated record